CACCUGCCCGCGUGCAGGGUGAAAGGCCUUUGGGUUUGUAAAGUGCUUCAGGGGGGAAUAUAAUGACUCCACCCCCUGAACUUGACCGUGCCUAUUUCCGUGCCAGCCGGCUAACUACUUGCCAGGGGGCUAGGGUUGUUCGGAAUUACUGGCGUUGUCCGGAUUCUAUGGGUGCUGAGGGUGCGGGGGUGAAAUGCCGGGGCUCAACCCAAAUCCUGCCUUUCAACCUUCAAACUGCCUUUGAUAGUGCUUAUCUUGAAAUUCCGAGAGGUUGAUGGAAUUUCAUAUGUAUUCGUAAGAUGCCCAGAGAUCUGGGAGAAUCACUGUGUCGAUAGUGACCCUGAGGCCCGAAACUGAGGCUCAUGCACAAGAUUAUAUACAUUGAACGUGAUUACAUACCCUGAUAAAUGCCGCACUUCACGAUGUAUGCUUGGCGUUGGCUCUUUUAACUCAUUGACCUUUCUAACUGGUUAGUCCUACCACCUGGGUAGUACUCUCGCGAGGUGAAAACUGACAGGACUUGACGGAGACCAUGUGGAUCAAUGGAGCAUGUGGUUUAAAUCCUUGCAACCCCUUGACCCUUACCUGGCGUUAUCCUGCAUGAGGCUUGACCCUGAAAUGGGAACGACCCGGUGCUGCAUUGCUGAGGUGCUGCAUGGCUGUCGAUGCUCGUGCCGUGAGGUGUUGGGUUAAGUCCACACUUUCAGCUACCAUCUGUCCUUAGGUGCCAUCUGGAUAAGCUGCCCACUCUAAGGAGACUGACUACGUGGAUGACGACGAGUCCUCGUGAUGACGUACAAGUCAGCAUGACACAUGCGCCCAAUGCUACACGACUACGAGAAAGUGUGGUACAGUGAGCUAUACCGGAUUGGGGAUGUGAACUCGACCCAUGAUCACUACAUCUCUAGUAUGCAGUACGACUGUGUGACGCUGAAUCGCUACCAGUCCUUGAUCACAUGCUCUGCUGACACGUCACUGGCUUGUACAGACCACGCGUCCAUACCUGGCAAUAGGAGGCACCGACUCCGUGAUGAUACUGCCUAGGGUGAAACCUCUGAAUAGGGUUAAUCCUCUAC
Molecule: ribosomal RNA, 1076 nt
Filed under: uncultured bacterium
Lineage: Bacteria
Description: bacterial SSU rRNA
Rfam family: Bacterial small subunit ribosomal RNA
Source: RNAcentral